Molecule: RNA transcript, 2543 nt
Organism: Chelonia mydas (Green sea turtle)
Lineage: Eukaryota; Metazoa; Chordata; Testudines; Cheloniidae
Gene: METTL2A
Gene name: methyltransferase 2A, methylcytidine
Exons: 10
Source: RefSeq, a predicted model, not a curated record
CCCGGGGCCCGGCACAUGCGCGCGCAGGCGGCGGGCGGGAACCGGCGCGAGGGCGGGCGGAGCCCGCUGUUCCCGCCCUUCCCAGGCCGCCCGCGGGCCAAGGUAGUUCUCUCUCCGGUCGGCCGGCGGGGGUCAGGCGGCGGGUUCCGGUUCCGGGUCGCGCAGCCUGUCAUGGCGGCGCCCAGCGGGCCGGACGAGGAGGAAGAGGCGGCGGCGGCCCCUGGGAGGCGGCAGCCGUUCGGGAGCCGCUUUCUGACCGACCCGAGCCGGCUCUUCCAGCACAACGCCUGGGAUAAUGUAGAAUGGUCUGAAGAGCAGGAAGCCAGUGCAAGGAACAAAGUUCAAGAGAACAGCAGGCAGCUUGUUCCACAAGACAAACAAGAUGAAUAUGAGCUCAAUGCUAAUGAAUACUGGAAUGAUUUCUAUAAAAUCCAUGAAAAUGGCUUCUUCAAGGACAGACACUGGCUAUUCACUGAAUUUCCUGAACUGGCACCAAACCAGAACCUAAGUCAACCUGAGGCUUCUGCAUACAAAGAUGGUAGCACCAGAAAACCCAGAAACACCGGGCUGGGGAGCUGUGAAAAGGGUCUUUCUUCAUUGGAAACCAGAACAGAAGAGCAUCAUCAAUUGGACUUGAUGAAAGACAGUAGUAAUAUCAUCAACAGACUCGACACAGAUGGAGAAGGAAUACUGAAGUUGGGUGACCUGAAACUAAGUGAUGGUGACUUCCCAGGAUCCUCUGCCACUUACCGUAUACUAGAGGUCGGCUGUGGUGCUGGAAAUACUGUCUUCCCAAUUUUGCAAACCAACAAUGAUCCAGGGCUCUUUGUUUAUUGCUGUGAUUUUUCCAACACAGCUGUGGAUCUUGUCCAGACCAAUUCAGAGUAUGACUCUUCUCGCUGUUUUGCCUUCGUUCAUGACCUGUGCAAGGACCAAAGCCCAUACCCAAUGCCAGAGAAGAGUCUUGACAUCAUUAUUCUCAUCUUUGUCCUAUCAGCUAUUCUCCCAGAGAAGAUGCAGUGCGUCAUUAACAGACUGAGCCAGCUUCUGAAACCAGGAGGAAUGAUUCUGUUACGAGAUUAUGGUCGUUAUGACCUGGCGCAGCUUCGAUUUAAGAAAGGUCGGUGUCUGUCCGAUAACUUCUACGUGAGAGGCGAUGGGACCAGAGUUUACUUCUUUACGCAAGAUGAACUGGAUGCUCUUUUCACCACGGCUGGGUUGGAAAAAGUCCAGAAUCUGGUCGAUCGGCGCCUACAGGUGAAUCGAGGGAAGCAAGUGACAAUGCAUCGAGUGUGGAUCCAGUGUAAAUACCGCAAGCCCUUCCCUGCAGGACAUAAGGAGAAUGGGCGUGUUCAUUAGCAAGGUGUGUCUAUCACAUGUGCUGUAUUUGGACUUGCUGGGACUCUCCUCCUGUGAAGCAUGUGGCACUGAGCAGACCUGCCAUUUCAUGCUGAAUUCUGGCGCCUUCUGAAAUGACCAGACUAGUCUGCCUCCCCCUCUCAGGAUCUCUGUUGGAGAGAAUCCAGCCUGACACCUUCCUAAUGACUAGUUUUGGCUGACAUUGCUGCGGGGAGAGGAGCCAGGGCUGUGCCUAUGCAAUCUGGUGCACCUCACAUGCCAUUCCACUCACAGCGCAUAUAUUUUGAUGGUGAGAUGAUCAUGGGCUAAGAGUACCUACACAGGAAGGAGAUGUCAGCUCGUUAGGGGCUGUUUCAUCUCACUGACAAAGACCUAACAAGAACCUAUGCCUGGAAGGGUGAAAGAGGAAGUAGAAAGAGAAGAAUUUGCUCCUGGUCCCUUAGAAGUCAAUGGGAGCUUUGUCAUUGAUACAGGACUGGGUCCAUUGGCUUGACUGGUGCUGGGAGAGCCCACAGGCAUCGCGAUGACAUCUCCUGCCACCAUCGUCAUGUUUAGGAGCUGGCCCUGUUGAUUCGUGACACUGCCACCACACAGCCAGCCUGUCCCUCUGCAAUUGUCAUUCCUAACUCCGUCGGGUGAUGUGUUCCAAGGCUGAAUACAGGUGCAAAGGUGACCCAACAAGUCCCUUGGAGCCUCCCUUUGAGUGCUGUGCAAGCUGAUACUAUUUUUGUGUUUUAAAGUCAGACUCCAAAACAGUUCUUUGGAAAUACCUGGUUAAUGCUUGAGAGAACAGCUGGAAGAAAAUCUCUUGUUAAAGGUGCUACAAUCCUGCUCCUUCUGUUCAGGGUUGAGAGAACUUUCAAACCACAUGGAUGGAGGAGAAGACCAGACUCAAAAUGCCUAUUUCUAAGGCAAAAAACCUAUGGAGAAUGCAUCUUUUCUUCACAGAUAUUUAGGCUUGGCAGGAUUCAAUUUUGAAUGUUUAUGAUUUAGAUGGAUAUUGAUAUUGAAUUUUAUGCGUUUUUAUCAGUUUUCACAGUUGUGGGAAACUAUGGGGGGUAAGACUAUAGCAAUUUAAUGACCAUAGGUGUUGAGAUUCAAAAAGUUAAAGCUUUAUAACUGUUAAAACACAAAUUGUCCACCUCGCAUAUCAAAAUAUACCAAGUAAAAACCCUUAAGUCAAA